GGGGGUAUAGCUCAGUGGUAGAGUGUGUGCCUAACAUGCACAAGGUCCUGGGUUCAAUCCCUAGCACUGCCA
RNAcentral lists this transfer RNA (72 nucleotides) under Camelus bactrianus (Bactrian camel). It matches the Rfam family "tRNA". Rfam says of the family: Transfer RNA (tRNA) molecules are approximately 80 nucleotides in length. Their secondary structure includes four short double-helical elements and three loops (D, anti-codon, and T loops). The record is from Rfam by way of RNAcentral. RNAcentral also lists the same sequence under 2 other names. Lineage: Eukaryota; Metazoa; Chordata; Mammalia; Artiodactyla; Camelidae.